Molecule: long non-coding RNA, 881 nt
Organism: Chinchilla lanigera (long-tailed chinchilla)
Lineage: Eukaryota; Metazoa; Chordata; Mammalia; Rodentia; Chinchillidae
Exons: 6
Source: RefSeq, a predicted model, not a curated record
CUAAGUGAACAAAGGAAAUGGUUUGCCCAGGUUGUCUAUGCCCCCACGUACUGGGGGAUGUUAUGAGGCAAUGAAGUUUGGGUUCAACAAUGCCUUGUGAAGUUAGAGAACUGUAACAGAGAUGCACCUAUACGACAGGCUGAGAUUUGCCAUCGAGGAAAGAGACCUUCCUCCCACCUUUUUUUCUAUUCCAAGGUAAGGAGACUAAGUUUAUCACUACCAGGAGUUCCUGUACCGCAGAUUCCAGAGCAGAAUCAGAAAUGAACAGGAAAAUAUGCCAAAGAACAGGAGAAGGGGCAAGGAAAAUAAAUUGAGUCUCAUAAUGGAGAAUUUGGAAAAGGAGGAGAGAGAAAAGGAAAAAUAUGUUUUGUCCUCAAACUUUGUGGUGUUUGAACACGGAUUCAGAAUGAAUUGAGUUCAACAACGAGGUAUCACAAUACAGUGUAAAUGAUACCAAGCAGCCAAUGAAACUAGGUUAGAAACAGCCAUCAACUUCGUCUGGUUCUCUUGAAUCUCAUGCUUUGUGGACACCCAAGGAGCCCCUGCUGCAGAAUUAAAACACCAACUUCAGGACUGGCUGAGUUCCUUAGGACACCCAGCACGAGCAUCGCAGUCACGUGACAAAUCUUGAAGAUGUCAGCAGCAGGAUACCUGAAAAAAGCAGAGAUGUUGUGACUGACUUGCCUUUGCUAUCCUUAUAAGAGUACAGGCACAAUAUACAAACUUGCUCCAUGGGUAUUUGAAGCAUAAAUGAACAGAUGGAUAAACAAAUAGGAAAUAUUCAGUGAUUGUUGGCGUUCUUCACAUUUCGGGCCCAGCUGCAGUAGAUUGAUGAAGAUUUUCCUGGCUGAGGUAGUCUCUUAAUAAACCAGAGUGUUUUA